This is a non-coding RNA of Mus musculus (house mouse), 297 nucleotides long. Lineage: Eukaryota; Metazoa; Chordata; Mammalia; Rodentia; Muridae. The record is from the annotation of a RefSeq genome assembly.
GAGGUGAAGCUGGAGAAGUCUAAGGGGAGGUUUAGUGCAGCCUGGAAGGUCCAUGAUACUCUACUGUGCAGCCUCUGGAUUCACUGUCAGCGACGACUGGUUUGCCUGGGUUUGCCAGGCUCCAAAGAAGGGGCUGGAGAUGGGGGGGGGGCAUAAUUUUUCAUGGUGGUGGUAGCCCCUCUUAUGCAGACACCUUGAAGAAGUGGGUUGGGCCUAACAUAUUCAGAAUCAAUAUUUAAAAAUUCUAAUCCUUGAGUAUGUCACUUUUGACCAAGAAUAUAUGAAAUAUGUUACUGA